Neofelis nebulosa (Clouded leopard) is the source of this 4073-nucleotide long non-coding RNA. RefSeq lists it as uncharacterized. NCBI's taxonomy places the organism in Eukaryota, Metazoa, Chordata, Mammalia, Carnivora, Felidae. The transcript is spliced from 2 exons. The record is from RefSeq and is a predicted model, not a curated record.
UGGCGGAACCUGGCGGAAGCAGCUCCUCGCCGGUCUGCGCUCUCCUGAUCUUAGAUCCCGGCCCGUUCGGUGUCCCGGAAGGGAAGGCGCAGUGAGAUCUCACACCGCGCUGCUGGCGGUUCGGCUCAGAGUCCGAGCUUCUCUCGGUGCGUCCAAACUCGGACCGCAAGAGCAGCGGGACAGGCGCGCGAAGUUGUUCUAGUCGGCUCGUGGGAAAAGAGCUUACGCGGGCCGUGGGCGUCUGUCGGCGGGGGCGGCCCCGCGUGCAGCCAGUCCCAGGAGGGGGCCGUUGGUGACGACCUUCCGUCCCCCUGAACCCGACCCGGUCCCCCUGUGGCGCUGCCCCGCGGGGCGGCUGCAGCUCUCGAGCUCCUCUUUCUCCUGGAAGUGGCCGCUUGUGCGCACAGCUGAGACUUGUGCGGCUUCCCCUCACACCAGGCCUGGUUUGUUUCCGCUCACAGGGCCUUGGCCUGGGCCGCCCGAGUGACAGAUGCAGGCUCUCGGUCCUCCCUUGUGGGGGACGAGAGGAGGGGCCGCGUUCUUCGCCAGGGAAGGAAGGACAGGUCUGAGCACUUGCUGGCAGGGGCUUUGCCCCCCCCCCCCCCCCCCCCCCGCCCCGUUGGCACCCACAUUGCCCUUGGGGGUCAGGGCAGCCGCAGCCAUUAGGCCUGCAGUGGGGUGUGUGUCUUCCUCCCUUGUGUCCACCCCCUCCCGCUGCCCGACAGGCGCUCCGGCUGAGCUGCUCUUUCACUCGUCGUGGAAAAACCACUCUUGGCACGUUACUUGCCCUGAACAGAGUGAGUCGGGGGAAAGCUUGUCGACCGGUCACUCACGGUCAUCGGGAGGGCUGGUCUGGACGCGGUGUCUUCCCCAGUCGUCCGGCCGCCUCGGUGCACGGCUCGGGGUCCCCACCGGGCGGGCGCCCCCCACUGCAGCCCACGUUUGCCGCUCUGUGGUGCCGGGGUCAUUCUGAAGGAAGACGGCGGUGAGGUCUAACAAAAGACGGCCUGGAAUCCGUGUGAGGCAUCAGGUCUCUUGUUACAAGUGCGUAAACACGCAGAAAGGGUGUCUCCCUCGUGGCUGGGGGGAAGGGUGCUGGGGAGGACGAGGCCGCCUUCAGGGAGGCCCUGAGGAAGCAGCAGGGCCUCUGGAUGGGGGUGGGGGGGGGGGGGGGUCCUCCCGCGGAAGUUGGAGAAGACGGGCAGGGCAGACACCGUGAGCGGGGGUAGAGGGCAGCUCGCCAUCCUUCCCGUGAGGCCAGAAGCAAGCGUCUUCCGAGAGACCAGGUGCGGGACGUCGGCGGCAUCCGCACACCUCAGGACGCGGUCUCCGUCGUAACUGGGCGGGGGGGGUCCCCGGGGGCGUAGCCCUUCCUCCCACCCCCCGUUUUGGGGCCAGGGCCCCGGCCUCGGCUCUCCGUGCCGAUGGCGCAGCUGGGUGGGCCCCGUCCCCGCCGCAGGCCCCGUCAAGGCGCCGGUGGGCUCGUGAGCGGCUCGGGGCGCUUGGCCCGCUUCUACCCGGAGUCUGGUUCCAGGUGACUGGCUGGGUGCAGAGCAGUGAAGACCGCGGCUUUGGGAGGACGAGCUGUGGGGCUGGCAGGGCUCCGGGCGCUGUCACCGAGCCGCCGACCGGGGCUCUCGUGUCCCGUCACUGGGAUCUAGGCCGUACUUUGAGCUCUGUCGGCACGGGCCAAGGCCGUGCCUUUCUCUCUUCCCGGAGAUGCAGCCGGGGUUCUGCUCGGCCGCGGGGUUGCGCUUUGCGGGGCCCUGCUUUCCCUACACGAGUGACACUGGAGCGUGCGAGGGCCCCGUCGCGUUUACGAGAGGUCUCCCUUGGUCUGCGGUGUUGUGUCUUUCGCUUUUUCCCUCUGGGAUCGCGAGCGGAGGAAGCCCGAGGCAGGGGUGCUGGUCAGACGGCGCGCGGUUGUGGGUCGGAAGCGGCCGAUGCUUCACACUGGAGUCUUCCCGAGCUUCCCGUGGCUUCGAUGCAGACGCGUUCGGUCGGUGUUGCAGAGGAACAGCUGGUCUUGCAGACGUAACUGCGUUUUUGCUGAUUUUCCCGGAGUAGCUAGUUUCAAGUAGGUGUCCUGAACGGGGGGAGCCGUUGUGUUGUGAAUGAGUGGUCGCUUAGGUUUACAAACGGAGAGGUGGAUAGAGUUCAUUCUAGAAGGUAAUUGAGCAUUUCUCAGAUGCAGUAAGAUGAUACAAUUCUUAGCAGCCCGUGAGCUUUCGUGAGAACAUUCGUAUUUGUUAUUUUUCCAAAAGUUUGUCUAUUCAUUUUGAGAGAGAGCACGAGAGAGAGAAGAGAAUCUCAGCACAGAGCCUGACACAGGGCUCCAGUUCACGAACCGGGAGCUCAUGGCCUGAACUGAAAUCAGGAGUCGGACGCUUACCUGACUGGGCACCCCCCCAGGUGCCCCACGUUCAUGUUUGUUACGAACUCCAGCAUGGUUUCUGCUCAGGGUCCUGACUGGGAUGCCGCCUCUGAAGGGCCGGGCAGCGCAGGGUGUUGGCUGAUGGGGUGCCGUGGGGUUCACCAGGCACCGGUGCUGUCUUCUGUCUCACCGUACAGAUGAGGAAAGUGAGGCUCGGGCUCAGCGACCCACCUGGGUCUCGCAGCUGGAGGUGGCGGUGUUUGUACCUGGUCAUCUGAGUAGCCCUUGACCCCUGGCCCCCUCCGCCUGCCCUGUUCAUACCCCAGAGAUGCGUCCAGUGAGCUGCCCAGCUGACCGCAGAGCAGGGACGAUGGACAAGCAGAGUGGUCAUGGCUGUGCCCCAGGCUGCCUUUGGGUAGAAGGAGGGGUAGGGAGGCCCUUCUGAUGAGGCCUCGACCUUUGCUCCUGGCGAGGGACGCGAGGGCAGGAGAACGCCCAGUAUGGGCCUAGCAUGAGAGGCUGGAGAAGGUGUGGGUGACCUCGGCGGUCCAGGGCCCCUGUGUGCCUGGCAGGGACGUGGGCACUUGGGGUGGUGCUGCCCAAGCAGGAGCAGGCAGGCCGGGGGCCUGAGCCAGGAUGGGAGUCCCUACUGGUAGCGUGGAGAUGGCUCGUGAAGAGGGGCCCGGAGAGCCUGGCGAGGGAUGACGCUCCCUCGGCCUCUAGCGGUCACCGCCUGGUGUCGCCGCCGAGGACCUCGGCCGCAGGGAGGGGGCAGGUGCUCUGGUGCAGGGUCAGGACGGGGCCUGGUGUGCGGGGCCCCAGGAGAGGCUGGAGGCGGGGACGGGAGGUGGCGGGUGAGCCGAGGCAGUGCGCGGGGAAGGGGUGGCCGAGGCUCCCCGUGAGAGGGCCCCGCCCCGGCUCCCGGUUGUGGGAGCAGCUUUCCGGGAGCAGCUCUUUGUGCCAUGCGGGUCCCGUUUGCUCAGCGCCCCCUGCGGGUGGGGGGUUUGUAAAUGCUGUUUGCCUAAACCUGUUGGUGACUUUGAAGUGACGGGCAGGAAGGCUCUCACUUCACGCCAGCGUGCCUCGCGGUUUGCUGGGCAGCGGUGCGGCCACGGACCCUUUAUACGGCUUUCCUGCUGAGGACGUGCUCCCGUGGUGUUUGGGUCACCUGUGACGUGCCCGGCAAGCUUCGAGCGGCCCCGCAGAGCUGAGGCACCUGUCACAUUGUUAAGGGAGGAUUCUCAAAACGUUUGCUCUGAGACGGAAGCGGAACUUAGUAGCUUCCCGUUUUCAGGAUGACUGGAUUGGAUGUACUGAGUUGUAUUUUUUCAAGUGGCCUGGGGGCAGUUUGCAGGUUCAAUGAAAUAAAAACUAUACCUAGUGAUAAUAUAUCGACUUAGGUCGUAUGAAUUGCUUCUCUUGGUUGUAGGUCACGUGUCUUGUAGCCCCAGGCAGGGGCUGGUCCUAGAGGCUGCGCCCUUGCUGGCCAGCCUGCCUCGCCGCCGCCGGAGGGCCUCCUCUCCGGGCCCUGGUGGCCAGCAGACCGACCUCCCAGGGCCAGGUGAUGAAGUCGUGUUCUCUGGGCUUUUCAGGCUUCUUGUUUUUAUGUCAGUAGCGUCAAGAAGCCUUUUAAAUGAGGCUAGAGUAGUCCUCUUCUAAAGACUUCUUAGUUUUAAAGUCAGAUUCUAGAAAGACUGCC